GCCCCCAUCGUCUAGCGGCCUAGGACGCGGCCCUCUCAAGGCCGAAACAGGGGUUCAAUUCCCCUUGGGGGCA
Molecule: transfer RNA, 73 nt
Filed under: Anaerolineae bacterium
Lineage: Bacteria; Bacillati; Chloroflexota; Anaerolineae
Description: tRNA-Glu
Rfam family: tRNA
About the family: Transfer RNA (tRNA) molecules are approximately 80 nucleotides in length. Their secondary structure includes four short double-helical elements and three loops (D, anti-codon, and T loops). Further hydrogen bonds mediate the characteristic L-shaped molecular structure. tRNAs have two regions of fundamental functional importance: the anti-codon, which is responsible for specific mRNA codon recognition, and the 3' end, to which the tRNAs corresponding amino acid is attached (by aminoacyl-tRNA synthetases). tRNAs cope with the degeneracy of the genetic code in two manners: having more than one tRNA (with a specific anti-codon) for a particular amino acid; and 'wobble' base-pairing, i.e. permitting non-standard base-pairing at the 3rd anti-codon position.
Source: RNAcentral